This 3720-nucleotide long non-coding RNA is filed under the name Sus scrofa (pig). RNAcentral's name for it is "lncRNA (ENSSSCG00050020252.1)". Lineage: Eukaryota; Metazoa; Chordata; Mammalia; Artiodactyla; Suidae. The record is from RNAcentral.
CCAACUGUUUUAUUGUAGACUGUGUACAUUAAAAAAAAAAAAAGCAAUAGGCAGCAGCAUUGCUAAGGGGGUAAAUCAGGUGCACAAAAUGAAAGUGCUGUCAGGGUUUAGAGAAGGAAAUCAUCCUAAGAUAGUGACAGAAUGAGGUUAACAAUAGAACUAAGUCUCAAAAUGGAAUUGACCAAAUAUUUAUUAAGCCCCAAGUGACACUAUGGGAGUGGAAAGAUGCAUCAUGCAGUCUCUGCCUUCCAGGAAUGGAUAGUCUGAUAGGAGAGACAAACAUUGAACCAAAUGAAUGUGGGCAGAUUAAAAAGUAGGUAGAUUGGAAAUAGAAUGCAUCAGGGAGAAAUCCUGUGCAUUGUAAAGGAUAAAUGGGGGACUGCAGGAAAUGGGAAAAGCAAGAAAUGACACAGCUGAAAGGCAGGGUACAGGGGAAAGAAAAACCAAGCAAGAGGACUGAGAACAUGCCAGAGCCCAAGGCUUGGGUCUCAAACACCCCACUACAUGAUUUCCACUUAACCAUAGUGUCCUGGAUACUGACUCACAGACUUUGAAAAACUUAGGGUUUCCAAAGGAAACAGGUUGGGGGGUGGGGGGAAUGGGCUGGGAGUUUGCGAUGGAAAUGCUAUAAAAUUGGGUCAUGAUGAUCGUUGUACAACUAUAAAUGUAAUAAAAUUCAUUGAGUAAUUUAAAAAUCUGUAAGUGUCCUGGGAAUUCUUCAUGGGCCUUGGAGAGAGAAGUGGAGGGCAACAAAGGCACCAAGUUUUCCUGCAUUUCUUCAGUUACCCACUGGAAAGCUAAUUAACAUCACCAAGCCUCAACUGUCACAUCUGUUAAACUGGGAUAAUAAUAGUUUCUAUUUCUGAGGUGUUGAUGAGGAGAUUAAAUGGAAUAUUCUGUGCAAAGCCUUUAAAGUAGUUUCAAAGGGCCAGUAUUGAGAAACUGAUGAAUAUUUAGCUACUUUAGUCAGAGAUAAGGAAUCUCUAGUCAAGAAAUUAGUCAAGUGUUGGAGGAAGGGAAAUUGGGUGAAGGGGGUUAAAAAAGUGUGCAGAAGUUAAAAGUCCUCUGAGGAGUUCCUGUCGUGGCGCAGCAGAAACGAAUCCAACUAAGAACCAUGAGGUUGUGGGUUCGAUCCCUGGCCUCGCUCAGUGGGUUAAGGAUCCAGUGUUGCCGUGAGCUGUGGUGUAGGUUGCAGAUGGCUCGGAUCUGGUGUUGCUGUGGCUGUGGCAUAGGCCGGUGGCAACAGCUCUGAUUCAACCCCUAGCCUGGGAACUUCCAUAUGCCGUGGGUGCGGCCCUAAAAAAGACAAAAAUAAGUCCUUUGGGUUCCUGCUGUGGCACAGUGUGUUAAGAAACCCACUGCAGAGGCUUGGGUUUCUGCAGAGGUGCAGGUUUGAUCCCCAGCCUGGCACAAUGGGUUAAAUGAUCUGGCAGUGCAACUACAGCUUGGAUUCAAUCCCUGGCCUGGGAAAUUUCAGUUGCCACAGAUUCAGCUAUUAUAAAAAAUAAAUAAAGAUAAAUCCUGGGGAUGUAAUAUAUAAUAAGGUGACUAUAGUUAAUACAGUUUUAGGGAGUUCCCCUUAAGGACUUGAUGCAUUAUCGAUCAGGAUGCAAAUUUGAUCCCUGGCCUCACUCAGUGUGUUAAGGAUGGAGCAUGUCACGGGCUGCAGCAUAGGCCAGCAGCUGAAACUCCAAUUCAACCCCUAGCCUGGGAACUUCCGUAUGCCGCGGGUGCAGCCCUAAAGAGCAAAAAAUAAAUAAAUAAAAAUUAUAUAUUCUCAUUAUUAAAAAAUUAAUCCACUCAGAGAGGUACAAAGAAAAAAUUAGUGUAUCUCCUGAAGUUCUACCACUUAGAAAAAAAAAUCGAUGUUAACAGUGAUCAUAGUUCUGGAUAUUACUCUGUGAUGGGGGGAGAGAGAAUCAAGAUAAGGGCAGAAAUCAUUUUAUAGAAUGGAUUGUGCCACACUGGCUAUUUUUAAAAUAUAAAGAGCAUUAAAUUUUAUUAACUUUAGAAAUUUCCCCCAUGGCACAGUGGGUUAAGAAUAAGACUGCAGGACUUCCCACAGUGGCUCAGCAGUAAUGAACCCAACUAGUAUCCAUGGAGACUCAAGUUCGAUCUCUGGCCUUUCUUAGUGGGUUAAGGAUCUGGCUUUGCCGUAAUCUGUGGUGUACGUCGAAGAUGUGGCUCGGAUCCCGUAUUGCUGUAGCUGUGGUGUAGGGCGGCAGCUGUAUCUCUGAUUCUACCCCUAGCUUGGCAACUUCCAUAUGCUGCACCUGUGGCCCUGAAAAAAAAGAACAAGACUUCAGUGGCUUCGGUCCUGACAGGGGUGCAGGCUCAAUCCCCAGCCCAGCACAGUGGGUUAAAGGAUCCCAUGAUGCUUCAGCUGCAGCUUAGGUAACAGCUGUGGCUCAGAUUCAGUCACUGGCCUGGGAACUUCCAUAUUCCACAGAUGUGGCUAUAAAAAUAAAUAAGUUUUGGGGGGUGGGGGGAUGUGCCUGGGCUGUGGGAUGGAAAUCCUGUGAAAUCAGAUUGUUAUGAUCAUUAUACAACUACAGAUGUGAUAAAUUCAUUUGAGUAAUAAAAAAAUAAAUGUUUUAUUAAUUUAAAUACAAAAAAAACUUACUGAAUUUUAGAAGAGGUGUUAAUUCUUUUUGAAAAAAAAAAAAACCCUCUUAGCAUGCAAUAUAGUUUUCCAUGAGAUGAACCUACCUAAAUAGCAUAGGAACAGGAAAAAGAAAAAAGUGAUACAGAACAAUUGCCAUAAAGACCCUUUCUGCUUACAUUUUUGAACCUUAAAUGUAAAAAAUCCUUAGGAGUUCCCUGGUGGUCUAAUGGUUAGAAUUCAAUGCUUUUACUGCCGUGUCCUGGGUUCAUUCCCUGGUCUGGGAACUGAGGCCCCAACCCCACAUCAAGCUACUGCAUUCUGCAGCCAAAAGAAAGAUGACAAAAAUCCUGCAGACAUCCAGACAUAAAGAAGCCUCCAGGUUUCCCUGGUGCCUCAGUGGUUAAGAACCUUGUGUUAUCAGUACUGACAAAUCUGAGCCUCAGAAAGAAAGAAAACGAAGCCUCCAUGUGAAGACAAUACAGUGGGGAAAAAUAAGGUUUUCAACAAAUGAUACUAGGGCAUGUGGAUAUCUACAUGCAAAAGAAUGCUUUUGGGAGUUCCCGUCACGGCUCAGUGGUUGAUGAAACUGACUAGUAUCCAUGAGGACACGGAAUUGAUUAUUUGAACUUUAUCAAAAUUUAAAACUUUUGUACUUCAAUCAAUACCAUCAAGAAAGUGAAAAGGAAAUUCCCAGAAUGGGAGAAUAUAUUUGUAAAUCUUGUAUAUGCUAAGGGACUUGUAUCUAGACAAUUUAAAGAACGCUUACAUGUUAUAAAAUUAGGUUGAUGGUUGUACAAUUAAAUAUAAUAAAAUUCAUUGAAUUUAAAAAUCUCUUAAGACUCAAUAGUAAUAACCCACUUUUUAAAUUUUAUUUUAUUUUAUUGAUUGAUUGAUUUUUUAGGCCCACGCCUGCAGCAUAUGGAAUUUCCCAAGCUAGGGUUCCAAUCAGAGCUACAGCUGCCAGCCUACACCACAGCCACAGCAACACCAGAGCCGAGCCAGGUCUGCAACCUACACCACAGAUCAUGGCAACGCCAGAUCCCCAACCCACUGAGUGAGGCCAGGAAUGGAACCCGCAUGCUCAUGGAUACUAGUCAGAUUCAUUUCCGCUGUGC